CAUCUCUCCCUAAAAACCACAGAGAGAAGAAAAAUGUUUUCUUCUCUCUUUAGGAAACAAAAAGAGUAAGAAUAUAAUUCUUCUAAAGAAAAAAAAAGUUCAUCUCUUGAAGUUAUUCCUAGUUUUCUCUAUGAAACGAAACUUAAGGCUCUUAUGCUGUGAGAAAUGAAUGAUUCUCAUAUCCAUAGUUUCAUUCAUGACUUGAGGCAAGAAAAUUGGCUAGUGAAAUAACCAAUCUAGAUCUUGGGCAUUUUAGAAGGUAAUCGAAAAUCUUAUUGUUCAUCAUUGGUAUCAGAGCCCUAUUAGGUUGUUUU
This 314-nucleotide long non-coding RNA is filed under the name Vitis vinifera (wine grape). Its description in RNAcentral is "long non-coding RNA (VVIN_LNC000804)". The record is from RNAcentral. Lineage: Eukaryota; Viridiplantae; Streptophyta; Magnoliopsida; Vitales; Vitaceae.